RNAcentral lists this transfer RNA (66 nucleotides) under Eualetes tulipa. Its description in RNAcentral is "tRNA-Phe". Lineage: Eukaryota; Metazoa; Mollusca; Gastropoda; Littorinimorpha; Vermetidae. The record is from RNAcentral.
UUUUGGGUAGCUUAAAUAGAGCAUAGCGUUGAAGGUGCUAAGGUGAUUGUUUUUAAUCCCCAGAAG